Molecule: long non-coding RNA, 1666 nt
Organism: Lates calcarifer (barramundi perch)
Lineage: Eukaryota; Metazoa; Chordata; Actinopteri; Centropomidae
Exons: 4
Source: RefSeq, a predicted model, not a curated record
GCAGCCUCACCAGAGGAGGUGGGGAAAGACUGAGAGGCACACAAAGAGUCUGUGAAGCAACAGUCACUCCCAGGCAGGACUGUCAGAGGGAAAACAGCCAUGGAGGCAGACAAACUCAAGUGAGGCACACAGUCAAACGGCACAGCAGAUAACUUGUGUGUGUGUAUAUGUGUGUCUCUCCUAAAAACCACCAAAAAGAAGAGAACAAGCCUGAGGUCCAAACUGAGGAAACAAAGGAGGAGAUAAAAAGGCACAAAGGAGGGAGGGUUAAAAAGGACCGGAACAGAGGAGCAGUGAAUGGGAUUUGUUUUUGUGAGUCAUCAACAACUUCCUCAACUCCAUGUGCAGACUAUCACCUGUACCUGAGGAAUUAUCCCUGCUAACCCUAAUCUCGACCUGACUGCUAAUCUCAGGCAGUGUCUGAGUGCUCCUCCUCUGAGUGACGUACUCCACGUUCCCACAAAAAACCCAACAGGCCGACGAGUAAGGCGCUCAGCAGUUAGUCUGGGCUUGGCUGAGUGCGUGAAAACAACAAAGACUCCCACAGGAUGGAUGCCAGAGAAGAGACGCUGAACCUCCUGAACAGGAUAUGGCUAAAGCUGCAGGGUCUGCCCAAUGCCAACUCUAUAGAGCUGGGAGCUUUCUUUGUCCUGUUGACCUUCAUCUUGUUGGUCCUGCUCAUGUCGGUGCUGACCUGCGCGACCUGCUGCUGCUGCUGCUGUCGCAAGACCAAGAUGAAGGGGGAAUCGAACAUUUGAGCCAAUGAGCUUCACACAAAGAGAAUUAUUUACACAGGCAAUCUCUGGAUAUUUGACUCCCACACUGGGCAUCCAAGCACAGGAGAUGGUGCCCAAAAACAAAAAAAGUAACAAAAAAAGAAAACAAACACAAAGGCAGGCUUUCUCUGCAGCCCUCUCACGCACCAUGAAUUCUGAGAGUCAUGGUCGUGUAAUUCACAGGCAGACAUUCAAGCUGUAGCACGGCGGAACCUCACGCAGGGUGUGUUCAGCGUCACUGAAGAGGCCAAACCCUUGAACAACAAAGCACCUGACAAACACAGAGAAGGAUGUCCUGACCGGCUGCCAGACACACCUGCCAAAGUAGCUAGGUUUUCAGGAGAAUCCACAUUCCUUGGAGCAUCCCUGCGCUCCACAGGGCAACAACACCACCAACGCCCUCGACCUGAGGAGAACACACUGCCAACCCCAAAUGCAAAAUAAAAAAUAUGUGGGCGCGUGAGCUGAAAAAGUAUGUAGGAUCAUUUUGGAAAAAAAACUUCAGAACACUCAACUACACAGUGAGAUACGACGGGGGGAGCCACAUUAUUUUGUUAUGUUUUUCUAAACCUGACUAUGUGUCAUUCUUGAGGAAUGAGAAUUGGCUAGUCAGACUUGGAGUUAGGUUAGAUCCUCCUAAGGGGGGAAGCUGUUUUUAAAACUGAGAGUGUUCCUUGUUAUACUGUACAACAAAGGAUAAAGAGAGGUCAAGUCUGCCCUCUGCUGUGCAUUAUGUGAAACCGCAUGUAAUGCUCUGUUUAAUGUAUAAACCUGCAUGUUGUAUUUGUGCAAAGGGUAAAGACAUCAUGUGACGAUGUUGAAGCUUUGACUUUUACACUUAUUGUACUACUUACUUUGAUUUGUAAGCAAUAAAGAAGAAGUGAUUUGCA